AUUGAACGCUAGCGGCAGGCCUAACACAUGCAAGUCGAGCGGAUGAAGGGAGCUUGCUCCUGGAUUCAGCGGCGGACGGGUGAGUAAUGCCUAGGAAUCUGCCUGUUCGUGGGGGAUAACGUCCGGACACGGGCGCUAAUACCGCAUACGUCCUGAGUGUGAAAGUGGGGGUUCUUCGGACCUCACGCUUUCUGAUGUGCCUAGGUCGGAUUAGCUAGUUGGUUUGGUAAAGGCCUACCAAGGCGACGAUCCGUAACUGGUCUGAGAGGCUGAUCAGUCACACUGGAACUGAGACACGGUCCAGACUCCUACGGGAGGCAGCAGUGGGGAAUAUUGGACAAUGGGCGAAAGCCUGAUCCAGCAAUGCCGCGUGUGUGAAGAAGGUCUUCGGAUUGUAAAGCACUUUAAGUUGGGAGGAAGGGAAGUAAGUUAAUACCUUGCUGUUUUGACGGUACCAACAGAAUAAGCACCGGCUAACUUCGUG
RNAcentral lists this ribosomal RNA (484 nucleotides) under uncultured bacterium. RNAcentral's name for it is "partial 16S ribosomal RNA". It matches the Rfam family "Bacterial small subunit ribosomal RNA", at positions 30 to 507 of the family's 1533-position model. The record is from RNAcentral.